AUGAGUACUGUUUUCAAAACAUUGGCUAAAUUGUUACAAUUGUACAUUCUCAGCCUUGUUUACCAUAUAAACAGAAGGGGAAAAGAGAGUUUUAUCCAAGUUCAGAGGAAAUAUUUGAUGAACUGAUGCACAUAUUCAUAAACUUUGUCCAAGAAAUAUAAAAUUCAUUACUAGCAGGAAGAACUAAUAAAAGCUUUCAAAAUAGUCUUCAAUCUAAACCUGUUGACUGAAAGUGCACAGACAGAUUAAGCAAAGCAUGCUAGUGGAUAGAAUUCAUGCGGAUCUUAUCAUUGAAUUUCAACAUCUCUAUCAGUAUCUACCAGUUGAGCCUCUUGAUCACUCUUGCCAUUUCUAUUCUUGAAAGAUUUCUCGCUAAACAUACGAACAAACAUGCUUUUUGACCUGGGAGUUCUUCCAGCAUCUUCUGAUUUUCUACUAUCACCAUUCUUCUUGGCCAGUUCUUCUAAGAUAACCUUGAUGCUACUCUCAAAGCGGCGCUUGAAUGUUGGAAAUCUUGAUAUAGAUUUGGUGAUGCCUCGUAGCCUUCGAGCUAACGCCUCAAACUCAGCUCGCCUCAGUUCAGAUUCAGGUGGUGAUCCAAUAUUUAGGUCCCUCAACCUCUCAGGAUCACCACUCAACAAAACCAAUUUGCCAAGGUACUCCUCGUCGCUGUCAGAAAGAUUUCCGGCUUUGAUCUGGUCUUUGAUGAUCAAGAGUGGAUUGAAAAACCACUCCGCGAAGGUAUCUCUAGGCCUGUUUGUGCUAGUUAUUUCAGUGGUGUCAUCAUUUAACAAAAUACCAGCACUGUUGGCUUUAGCAGAAUGUAUAAGGGUCUGAAGGAUGCAAUAGGCAGGCAAACCAAUGCUAAUGACUUGACCACUGUCUUUACUAGAUUUGGCAUCUUCAAUGUCUUUUUGUGUAAUUACUCCUUGAGAUACCAUGAUUUCGCCAUGACGUUGACAGCCCUUGAAUAAGCCAUCAAGAAGCUCGAGGGGCUUCAACUCGAGUAUGGGGACAUUGAUGGCGUUUGUACUAGAUGGUGGAUUUCUGAAAGAAUCAGGCCUUGAUAAAGAAUCUGCACGGGAGUUGGUACUUGAUGCAGUCUUCUUUCUGUACUGAGGCCUAGGAAAGCAGGACCCUUCUGGCAUGUCUAGCACAUCAUUGCUAUAUUCAUCAUAUAUGGACAAGGAAGCAACGAUAUAGCAAAGCCCUGCCCAAAGAGAACACUCCUGAUAUACAACUACUCCUGCAUAAGCGCCUAGAGGGACACUUGCUAAUAUUGAUCCAAAGAAUGCAGCAAUAACAGCCAAUGGCCAGAGUAAGAUAGCAAGGCCAGCAAAUGGUACACAGAUUGACUCUAGAAAAGGCCCUUCUCGGCCUAUACAAUCUUGAAAUAAACGACGCCACCCCUUUACAAGCAUGUAAGGGAAUUUGCAAGCAGCAAUUAGCAUGAUCAUUGGCAUAUCAACCACGAGUCCUAGUUCCACAGCUAAUAGCGCCAAAGGAAUAUAAAGCACCCUGAUCUCGUAGCAUUUUCCAUCAGGAGGUUCUUGAAGUCGGAAAUCAUCCAUGAUUGAGAAAUAGGAAUGGUAUAAGACAUCCUUCAAAUCCCUAACAAUGGUCAAGCUUCCUUUCACUGUGUCCCAGGUCCCAUCAUAUAUACUGUGAUAGAAGGCAUUAGUCGCCCUUCCAUCCACUGCUUGGAAAGUGGCAAACACUGGUGAAAGGAAGCCAUAAGCAGCCCCGCCAAUAAUGCUAGUUGCAAUUCCAAUGAAGGGCCAUAAAUAUAAAAUAACAAGGGCACAUAUGCCUACUAAAAAUUUUAAAGCUGGACCUAGUUGCUUUGUGCUCCAUAUACAGUAAAAUGUAUAGAACAGGUGCACUGGCCAAAGACCCAAAAUAAGGGAACAGUUUCCGACAGUGAGUAUAAUAAGGACGAUAGGGAACACAAUGACACCUUUCAAGACACCCAAAAUAAGCAGGCUAAUGAAGUAAGGUAAGAAACGAAUGAAGUUCCACACCGAAUCAAAAACCCCCCUUGGAGGUUCCAUUCUUAUGCUUCGCUAAAUCAAGAACCACUCGAUCUUUACACAAUCACUAACAAGGUACAACCCCUUUUCACAAAUCAAUUAAUCUUGGAAAAUGCAACCAAAAAAUCUCGGAUUUUGCUGAAAAGAACUGAGUCUUUCCGUAGUCAGUACGUAAAAUGGAAACAUAGAUGAAGAUGUGGAUGUGGG
RNAcentral lists this unclassified non-coding RNA (2237 nucleotides) under Hevea brasiliensis (rubber tree). Lineage: Eukaryota; Viridiplantae; Streptophyta; Magnoliopsida; Malpighiales; Euphorbiaceae. The record is from RNAcentral.